RNAcentral lists this long non-coding RNA (227 nucleotides) under Elaeis guineensis (African oil palm). Its description in RNAcentral is "long non-coding RNA (EGUI_LNC058880)". The record is from RNAcentral. Lineage: Eukaryota; Viridiplantae; Streptophyta; Magnoliopsida; Arecales; Arecaceae.
GUCUGGCAAAGUCUCUUGAUCCGAACAGGCUAAGGAAGAGAAAUCAGUAAAGGAUUACUGAACAAGAUAUUUAUAUGAUAACACCUUAUGAUUUCUCUAUCUGUGACACUACUAUCUGGAUAUUGGAUAUCGAAAGUCCAUGCAAAUUAUUGUAAUGACUUCAGGUUAGUAGAAAGUUUGAAAACAGCAAGAGGUUCCUGAACAUUGAAGUUGGAAGUUAUGUUCUA